UACGGAGGGGGCUAGCGUUGUUCGGAAUUACUGGGCGUAAAGCGCACGUAGGCGGACUGGAAAGUCAGGGGUGAAAUCCCGGGGCUCAACCCCGGAACUGCCUUUGAAACUCCCGGUCUUGAGGUCGAGAGAGGUGAGUGGAAUUCCGAGUGUAGAGGUGAAAUUCGUAGAUAUUCGGAGGAACACCAGUGGCGAAGGCGGCUCACUGGCUCGAUACUGACGCUGAGGUGCGACAUCGUGGGGAGCAAUCAGG
Molecule: ribosomal RNA, 253 nt
Filed under: uncultured bacterium
Lineage: Bacteria
Description: partial 16S ribosomal RNA
Rfam family: Bacterial small subunit ribosomal RNA
Source: RNAcentral